Molecule: long non-coding RNA, 5232 nt
Filed under: Sus scrofa (pig)
Lineage: Eukaryota; Metazoa; Chordata; Mammalia; Artiodactyla; Suidae
Description: lncRNA (ENSSSCG00040003521.1)
Source: RNAcentral
CAUACCCACUGGCAUAUGCAAAUUCCCAGGCUAGGGGUCAAAUUGGAGCUAUAGCUGCCGGCCUACACCACAGAAAUGCGAGAUCUGAGCCACAUCUGUGACCUAUGCCACAGCUCACAGUAACGCCAGAUCCUUAACCCACUGAGUGAGGCCAGGGAUCAAACCUGUGUCCUCAUGGAUACUAGUCAGAUUCUUAACCAGCCAAGGCAUAAUAGGAAUUCCUAUCAUCUCUUUUUUUACUCGCUGUCCUUCAGGAUUUCCUGGAAGUGUCUGGAAUCUGGAAUCCAGGGUACUGGGUUCUUCCACCUGUGUGCCUUUAGGUAAGUCACUGAAACUCUGAAAGCACACUGAGGCUUUCUCACCUUCCCAACAUGCACCUGCUCCCUCUGGGAGGCUGGGCAAGCCUCCCCAAGGACGAUCCCCAGCCGGGAAUCCUCCUUGCUCCCCCACCAGGGAACUGAGGGGCCAGAGAGCUCAUGCGCAGUUGGGUGGAGAAGCACCCCCUCCAUGCAUAUUCUAUCUCCAGCCUGACCUCUGUGAUGGGACUGCUCUAACGUGGGUACCACCCCUAACCCCGGUACCCCAUUGGGAGGGGCUGGAAAUACAAGAAGCCUUCUUAUUCAGGAUGAAGGAGCUAAAAGACCAUGAUAGAUUGCCAUGUCCAAGGCCAGACUGGGGCCUUACAAAUUCAUAAUAACCAUGGAAGGUGGGCAUCAUUCAAUCCACAUAACAGACGAAAAACAUUGACUUGUCCAAAGACACCAGCUAGAGAUGUUGGAGCCAGGGUUUGGAUCCUGGGUCUCUGCCUCCACCAUACUUGCUCCUUUUGCUGCACUCCAACUGCCCUGAUUUGUUCAUCAAAAUGACUUGGCAGGGAUAAGAGCAGAUGAGUCAUGCACCCAGGACAACAGGUCAUAAGAAACCUCUUGGACACUGCUUGUCUCACAAAGAGCUGGCAUUGGUGAUGGCAAAACAGCCUCCUCUGAAUGACUCAAUUAGAAAACAAAAUAAAGCAGUACUUAUCACAAGUCAAAGUGUGUGACUGACCGUCUCCAUCUGGUCUGCUCAGACCUUGGGUCCUGGCAGUUCUAGACCCUGGCGCUGGGAGCCGUAAGCUCUAAGUCACAGACAUCUGCAGCCAAGCCAAUGAUACUCUUCUUUCCCUGUUAACUUGCUUUCUGAGAGACAUUUCAGUAAAGAGAAUUCACCUGUGCUCAGGGACCAGCUCUCAGCCAUCCAGCUCUGGACAUGAGGCAGGAACUUGGAAACCUUCCAGGGGAGCCCAGAGAGGGGGUGUCUAGGGGCUGAGCUCAGGCCACGUGAGAGCUUCAGCCUCAGGGAACCGAUGAAGCAGAGGUGCACGGGAAGCCUUCCAGAUUUCUCUGGAGAGUAGACAUAUUGAAAAUGCAAAGGCUGUGAUUUGAUAAGUUAAAUAGGACCCACUGGCGAAGAAAGAGGGAAAGAAAGGAAUGAAGGGAAGUGUCUGGAUGUGGGCAAAGUAAAGCAAACUUCUUCCCAAGAGACACUGGAGGGUGGGUGUGGAAGACUCCAGGCAGUAGCAGGAAUCCUCCCUCCGGGCCUGCCCUGUCUGGUGCAUAGAAACUGAUCUGUUCAGGUGGAAAAGAAGCUACACGGUCCCACAAGAGGUGAGGUGUGGGCACCGUAGGGCAGUGUCUGCAGUGAGCCUGGGGACAGUGUAGGCUCUGAGAGUUACCAUCCUAGGAAACUACAGUGGAGUGAGGCGGAGAGUGGGGAGUAUGGGAGGCGGCAUUGGAGCGAGUAGCGGAGGCCCCACCCAUCCCCUAGAAUGUCUUGCAUGAUUGUGUCAUCAACCAAAAUGUGUUGGGAAACCCUAGUGCAGAGCAUCAGGACCCAUCCUGGGAAAACCUCCAACCCAAAGAGCUUACUCAUCUGAGGCUCUACUGUGACAUCAUGCAUUGUGCAAAGAGCUGGGGUCUCCCACCUCAGAAGGGAAUGUGUGAUGUCAGGGGAAGGGUCUGGAACCAGACUGUGGGCCGCUAGGAAACGCUUGAGAAAUCUCCAGGUGGACAACUGGCCCCUGCACACCAAGUGCUCAAAGGUUUCUAAGGACCAGAAUAAGGCUGGAGCUGGCUCAGAAGGCCUCUGAGCAAGACCUUGGCCACAGGCCCAAUAGACUCUCCAAACAGAGUUGUACUUAUAUAGUAGAAUUUAGAACAAGUAGAACUUGCCCUGCCCUAAAAGGAUAUAUAAACGCAGUAUGAUAGCAGGACACAGUCAGCUGGUGAUAAGGGUAAAGUGCCAUCAAAUCUGAACAAGGGCUAAAAUGACAGGGCGUGAUCCAGUCAUUCAAAACAUAUGAGUGCUGGGCACUGCCUGUCUCAUUCCCUGUGCGGCCCAGGGCCAUAGGGCCCUGGCCCACGUAGAGGGCUCUCAUAGGGAAGAAGAAAUCAGACUCCAUAUUGGAGUCUGACUUAACUGUUUCUUUGACUUUAACCUUUCUAUUCUAUUGCUUUUGCUCAAAGUUAAGAAUAUUGUCUAUAGCCUGAAAUAUACAAGACAGGCUAUUCUCAAGCCUCAGACUUUUCCAUUCAUAUACAGAUAAAAAGUUGCAGAACAGAGAAUAACACUUACCUUCUUGAUGGUUUACUGGAACAUCUGACCUGAUCUACAUGGCAGCUGAAAGAACAAAGGAUUCUGACACCAAGAAGUUUGUAACAACCAACCACACCCCACCCCUCCUUUUAGCAUAAAAGAAGAUGGUUCUUUCAGACAUUAGUCCAUCAUCUUCUCAGUCUGCUGGCUUUUUCAAUAAGGUCACUCUUCCUCGGUCUAACAACUUGUCUCAAUUUAUUGCCCUGUCCUGCAGGGAGUAGUUUGAGCUUGAAUUCAGUAACGAGGUAGCUGGUGCACUCUCUGGUCUGCUGCCCUGACCUCUCUGUGCCUCACCUAUAAAAUGGGGCUAAUGUCACCUGCCACAAGGGUUCAGCCCUUAGAAGUUUGAAGCAAGGAGGUUAGUUCCCCCUUCCCCACUGAGACCAGGCUUGAAGGUGCCAAGGCCUGAAGACCCACUCUACCUCACUGCAAACAAGCAUAUACAUAGCCUGCUGCAGAGACAUGACUCAUGUUUGCCUGAUCUUUCACCAGCUUUUUCAGCCAUGCUGCCCAGUGCCUGAAAUUGCACCACCGUGGCUGGCUGCUAGGGACACACGUCCCAAUCCUGUUGCCCUGUGUAGGAGAUGAUCUGUGUGUGCUCCAUGGUGACUUACUGUUUGGCUUCAAGUUCUGUAGAAUGUCUACUGGGCUGCUGAACCCGCAUCAGAAACCCAGGACCCCAGAAAAGUACUGGUGGGGUACAGCAGCCAGCUUAUCAUGGGUGAAACUCUGGUGUAGCCAAUAGGCCAGUAGGUGGGGAGCCCACUCCCCAGGGGAUCUUAGAGACUGUGUCAGGCCCGCCAGCUGAAGGGGGUGCUCCAGCCAGUGGGUGGCUGCUGUGCCACUGGGGUGUGCCCCUCUGGUUCCAACACUUGUAGGCUCCAGGGAAUUCUUAGAGAACUCUUCACUGAUUUCAGCCCCAAAUCAAGGAAACAUGCAGGGCAGGACCCCCUUAACCCCCACAUUACUGGUCCAGGGGCUACUGGGGCCCUUGACUUCCCUCCACCUUCUAAAGGCCUGCAGUUCCAUGGGAACCUCCGUGGUGGGGGCAGACACCCUGAAAUGAAGCUGGCCAUUAAAGGCAUUGAGAGACUGGAUGAGAAUGAUGCUAAAGAUGGAGAUAAGACAAAGACAGAGGAGGAUGAAGUGGUGUAGAAGAUGGUCAGAAAAUCCAAACAGACUCAGAGUCUGUACCCACCCCCACAGCUGGACAAAUAUGCUUCUCAGGUAGGGAGGGCGCUCUGUGCAUCCUUGGCUGGGGGCUGGUACAGGUGCAUUCCCCUCCUGAGUUCUGGCCCAGGCCAGCUCCCCAUCCUAGGUUCCUUGGCACCUACAUAAGAAGUGGCUAUGUACUUAACACUUCUUUACUCUUUGUCCCCAUCGAGCCAUAAUAGAAGCUGUGUUCUCAAUCUAUUGUCACAUUUAUGAUCCAGAAAGCCCUAAUUUCCUGCAAUAAUCUUAAGUGACAAUUCAAGGCUAAAUGUACUUUAAUGUUUUAUAAUGCUUCUAAAGCAACAUCUCGAAAUUAUAAUAUAGCCCAUGAAAUUACUAGUCUGAGUGAAAGAGAGAAUGAACAACUGGAAAGCUAAAUGAAAAUCUAACAAAUUGAUCUAAGGCUGAAAUGAUGAGGUUCAGUACGUUUCAGUGAUGUGAGAAGGAGAAUACUGACGUGACCUUUGUCAGGUGGACACAUGACCUGGCUGGGGGAAAUAGACAUUUAACUUUAAAAAUGCCUUCUUUUUCUCCCUUCCUGAUUAAUCAAAGAGGAGGCAGCCAGAAUCUUCUCACCUGGAUUUUUCCAGGGUGGGAACAGGAAAGGCAUUUUGUGGGGGGUGGGGUGGGAACUAACUCCCACCCUUGACCAAUGAGGAGAGUUUGAGAGAAGAACCACAGCAGGUAGUAGAGGGAGGGCCUGCUUCUGCCUUCCAGAGGUGGCUCUCUGUUAAUUCCAUCCAUUUUUGUCAACAUAUACUUGGUGCCAGUGUCUGAUGUAUUCCCAGCAUCACUUCUAAGAACAGAUGAGGACCCUGAGGCUCAGAGAGGUUACAGGACUUUUGCACAUGUCCACAGAGAAAGCUGUGUGGCCUGGGUUUGAACUCAGGUUGAAGUUCAAAGCUUAUGCUCAUAUUUUAUAGUAAAGAAAACCUGAAUUUUUGGAAGGUAAUUAAUUAUAUUAAAAAGAUUGCAUUAAAAGUAAUAUUAACAAUAUAAAGAAUAAUUGAAAAGAUACACUGGGAAACUAUAUGACAAAUGCCCAAUAUAAAAUUACCAAAUAUAAAAAGAGCUCUUAGAAAUCAACAAGAAAAGACUAGUAGUCCCAAAGAAAGAUAGACAAUAUGAAUACGCAAAAUGGCAAUAAACAUAUAAAAAAAAUUAACUUUACCAACAUGUGAGAAAAUGUGAAUCAGAAUAGUAAUUAGAUUUCAUUUGUAUCCUACACAAUGGUUUGAAAGAUCAGUAAUAAACAGUAGGUUCAGGUAUGAAUGUGGGGAGGAAGCAUUCCCAUUCACUGUUUAAAAACAAGAUCUGCUCAGCCCCUUUGCAAACAACUUUGUAAUAUUCUCCAAAAUCCAAAGGAAUAUACUAUUUUCCCUAGGA